GGUCAAGCUACCAAGAGCUGAUGGUGGAUACCUAGGCACACAGAGGCGAUGAAGGACGCGGUUACCGGCGAUAUGCCACGGGGAGCUGGAAGCAAGCAUUGAUCCGUGGGUUUCCGAAUGGGGCAACCCUAUAUACUGCCACCUGAAUCCAUAGGGUGGUAAGAGCUAACCCAGUGAACUGAAACAUCUUAGUAGCUGGAGGAAGAGAAAGAAAAAUCGAUUCCCCUAGUAGCGGCGAGCGAAGCGGGAAGAGCCUAAACCAAAGUGCAUGCAUUUUGGGGUUGUGGGACAGCGACAUGGAAUCUAGAGGCUAGACGAAGCAGCUGAAUACUGCACCAGAGAAGGUGAAAGUCCUGUAGUCGAAAGUCAAAGGAUACUAGCUGAAUCCCGAGUAGCCUGGAGCACGUGAAAUUCCGGGUGAAUCAGCGAGGACCACCUCGUAAGGCUAAAUACUCCUGUGUGACCGAUAGUGAACCAGUACCGCGAGGGAAAGGUGAAAAGAACCCCGGGAGGGGAGUGAAAUAGAACAUGAAACCAUCAGCUUACAAGCAAUGGGAGGCCGAUUAAACGGCUAACCGUGUGCCUGUUGAAGAAUGAGCCGGCGACUUACAGGCAGUGGCAGGUUAAGGCGAGAAUGCCGAAGCCAAAGCGAAAGCGAGUCUGAAUAGGGCGAUAGUCACUGUUUGUAGACCCGAACCCGGGUGAUCUAACCAUGUCCAGGAUGAAGCUUGGGUAACACCAAGUGGAGGUCCGAACCGACCAAUGUUGAAAAAUUGGCGGAUGAGGUGUGGUUAGGGGUGAAAUGCCAAUCGAACCCGGAGCUAGCUGGUUCUCCCCGAAAUAUGUUGAGGCAUAGCGGUUGAGAUUAUAGCUGGGGGGUAAAGCACUGUUUCGGUGCGGGCUGCGAGAGCGGUACCAAAUCGAGACAAACUCUGAAUACCCAGUGUACACUCAGCCAGUCAGACGGUGGGGGAUAAGCUCCAUCGUCAAGAGGGAAACAGCCCAGACCACCAGCUAAGGUCCCCAAAUUGCCGCUAAGUGGUAAAGGAGGUGGGAGUGCAUAGACAACCAGGAGGUUUGCCUAGAAGCAGCCAUCCUUAAAAGAGUGCGUAAUAGCUCACUGGUCAAGCGCUCCUGCGCCGAAAAUGAACGGGACUAAGCGGCAUACCGAAGCUGUGGGAUAUAUCUAUCGAUGUAUCGGUAGGGGAGCGUUCCGCAGUAGUUAGAAGCAUCAGCGAGAGCAGGUGUGGACGAAACGGAAGUGAGAAUGUCGGCUUGAGUAGCGAAAACAUUGGUGAGAAUCCAAUGCCCCGAAACCCUAAGGGUUCCUCCGGAAGGCUCGUCCACGGAGGGUUAGUCAGGACCUAAGGCGAGGCUGAGAAGCGUAGUCGAUGGACAACGGGUCAACAUUCCCGUACCGCUAAAUGUUUGUGAAGGGGGACGGAGAAGGCUAAACCAGCCGGAUGAUGGUUACCGGUUCAAGCAUACGAGGCGAUGAGGAGCGGCGAAAACGUUCUGAGCUGAGUUGUGAGUACGAGAGUCUACGGACUCGAAGUGGUUGAUGUCAAGCUUCCAAGAAAAGCCCUAAACACGUUAAGCAUUUAGUGCCUGUACCCGAAACCGACACAGGUAGGGAGGUUGAGAAUACCAAGGGGCGCGAGAUAACUCUCUCUAAGGAACUCGGCAAAAUGGCCCCGUAACUUCGGGAGAAGGGGUGCCACCGAGAGGUGGUCGCAGUGAAGAGUCCCAGGCGACUGUUUACCAAAAACACAGGUCUCCGCUAAGUCGUAAGACGAUGUAUGGGGGCUGACGCCUGCCCAGUGCCGGAAGGUUAAGGAAGUUGGUCAGGGAGCAAUCCUGAAGCUAGCGACUGAAGCCCCGGUGAACGGCGGCCGUAACUAUAACGGUCCUAAGGUAGCGAAAUUCCUUGUCGGGUAAGUUCCGACCCGCACGAAAGGCGUAACGAUCUGGGAGCUGUCUCGGAGAGAGGCUCGGCGAAAUAGGAUUGUCUGUGAAGAUACGGACUACCUGCACCCGGACAGAAAGACCCUAUGAAGCUUUACUGUAGCUUGGUAUUGGGUUCGGGCUCUGCUUGCGCAGGAUAGGUGGGAGGCUUAGAGACAUUCCUUGUGGGGAAUGAGGAGCCGCCGGUGAGAUACCACUCUGGCAGAGCUAGAAUUCUAACUUUGACCCGUAAUCCGGGCGAGGGACAGUAUCAGGUGGGCAGUUUGACUGGGGCGGUCGCCUCCUAAAAGGUAACGGAGGCGCGCAAAGGUUCCCUCAGGCUGGUUGGAAAUCAGCCGAAGAGUGUAAAGGCAUAAGGGAGCUUGACUGCGAGAGCUACAACUCGAGCAGGGUGGAAACACGGCCUUAGUGAUCCGACGGCGCUGAGUGGAAGGGCCGUCGCUCAACGGAUAAAAGUUACUCUAGGGAUAACAGGCUGAUCUCCCCCAAGAGUUCACAUCGACGGGGAGGUUUGGCACCUCGAUGUCGGCUCAUCGCAACCUGGGGCGGUAGUACGUCCCAAGGGUUGGGCUGUUCGCCCAUUAAAGCGGUACGUGAGCUGGGUUCAGAACGUCGUGAGACAGUUCGGUCCAUAUCCGGUGCAGGCGUAAGAGCAUUGAGAGGAUUCUUCCUUAGUACGAGAGGACCGGGAAGAACGCACCGCUGGUGUACCUGUUAUCGUGCCAACGGUAAACGCAGGGUAGCCAAGUGCGGAGCGGAUAACCGCUGAAAGCAUCUAAGUGGGAAGCCCACCUCAAGAUGAGUGCUCUCACUGGGUCAACCAGGUAAGGUCACGCGAAGAACACGCGUUAAUAGGCGUCAGGUGGAAGUGCAGUAAUGUAUGAAGCUGAGGCGUACUAACAGACCGAGGGCUUGACCUC
Geitlerinema sp. PCC 7407 is the source of this 2885-nucleotide ribosomal RNA. It matches the Rfam family "Bacterial large subunit ribosomal RNA". The record is from Rfam. NCBI's taxonomy places the organism in Bacteria, Bacillati, Cyanobacteriota, Cyanophyceae, Geitlerinematales, Geitlerinemataceae.